Molecule: ribosomal RNA, 292 nt
Filed under: uncultured bacterium
Lineage: Bacteria
Description: partial 16S ribosomal RNA
Rfam family: Bacterial small subunit ribosomal RNA
Source: RNAcentral
GUGCCAGCCGCCGCGGUAAUACGGGGGGGGCAAGCGUUGUUCGGAAUUACUGGGCGUAAAGGGCGUGUAGGCGGCCAGCUAAGUCAGACGUGAAAUCCCUCGGCUCAACCGAGGAACUGCGUCUGAUACUGAUUGGCUUGAAUCCGGGAGAGGGAUGCGGAAUUCCAGGUGUAGCGGUGAAAUGCGUAGAUAUCUGGAGGAACACCGGUGGCGAAGGCGGCAUCCUGGACCGGUAUUGACGCUUAAGCGCGAAAGCCAGGGGAGCAAACGGGAUUAGAAACCCUUGUAGUCC